This 450-nucleotide ribosomal RNA is filed under the name uncultured bacterium. Its description in RNAcentral is "partial 16S ribosomal RNA". It matches the Rfam family "Bacterial small subunit ribosomal RNA", at positions 338 to 795 of the family's 1533-position model. The record is from RNAcentral.
CCUACGGGGGGCAGCAGUAAGGAAUAUUGGUCAAUGGACGAAAGUCUGAACCAGCCAUCCCGCGUGCAGGAUGAAAGCCCUAUGGGUUGUAAACUGCUUUUAGCAGAGAAGAAAAGCUUUCAUUAAUGAGAGUCUGACGGUAUCUGCAGAAUAAGCACCGGCUAACUCCGUGCCAGCAGCCGCGGUAAUACGGAGGGUGCGGGCGUUAUCCGGAAUUACGGGUUUUAAGGGGGAGGAUCAAGGCGGUGUUGAAAUCUUGGCGCUUAACGAUAAAAUUGCCAAUGAUACUGGUACUCUGGAGUUGGGUUGAGGUUAGCGGAAUGUGACAUGUAGCGGUGAAAUGCAUAGAUAUGUCAUGGAACACCAAUUGCGAAGGCAGCUAACUGGGCCUUGAUUGACGCUGAGGCACGAAAGCGUGGGUAGCGAACAGGAUUAGAUACCCCUGUAGUC